This 535-nucleotide long non-coding RNA is filed under the name Gossypium raimondii (Peruvian cotton). RNAcentral describes it as "long non-coding RNA (GRAI_LNC003750)". The record is from RNAcentral. Lineage: Eukaryota; Viridiplantae; Streptophyta; Magnoliopsida; Malvales; Malvaceae.
CGCCGUCUGCGGUGGCCGAAAAAGGGGAAAAUCCCUUAUUUGGUUCCUUAAGCUUAUCUAAACCUGAAUCUGGGUUUGGAGCUUUCAAAAAAUCGACAAAAAUCGCAAAUAAAUCGAGGAGACCCUUCGGUGUCUGGCCACCGAUCCUCGGCGUGGCUCCCUCGAACGCUACAGCGCCGUUUCAGAGUUUAAAGAAAAGGUGAUUUCUUUCCUUUUUUAUUUUCAUACUAUUCGUAUAUAGAUAAAAAAUGUGUAACAAAAAUAAAUGUAAAUUAACGAAAAUAAAAAUCAACCUUGAAUUGAUUUCUGAUCUUUCGGUAUUGAACUCACUGUUUUUGCUAUGAAAUCCACUGUCUUUUUUAUUGAUUUUUUCUACCCCUAUUACAGUGCAUUAAUGGCUUUUUUAUAGCCGAACGAAACAAAUCUAAAGAAGAAACAAAUCUGUUUCUUUAUUUGAUUUUCGAAUCUUUGAUUGUGUUUCCUUUUUUGUUUUUUUCUUGAUGCGCAGGUAUGAAGAUCGGGCAUGCUUGUGGCU